GGCCGCGGGAAUUCGAUUCAGGCCUAACACAUGCAAGUCGAACGAACUUCCGUUAAUUGAUUAUGACGUACUUGUACUGAUUGAGAUUUUAACACGAAGUGAGUGGCGAACGGGUGAGUAACACGUGGGUAACCUGCCCAGAAGUAGGGGAUAACACCUGGAAACAGAUGCUAAUACCGUAUAACAGAGAAAACCGCAUGGUUUUCUUUUAAAAGAUAGCUCUGCUAUCACUUCUGGAUGGACCCGCGGCGUAUUAGCUAGUUGGUGAGGUAAAGGCUCACCAAGGCAGUGAUACGUAGCCGACCUGAGAGGGUAAUCGGCCACAUUGGGACUGAGACACGGCCCAGACUCCUACGGGAGGCAGCAGUAGGGAGUCUUCCACAAUGGACGCAAGUCUGAUGGAGAAGCGCCGCGUGAGUGAAGAAGGGUUUCGGCUCGUAAAGCACGGGUGUAAAGAAGAACGUGGGUAAGAGUAACUGUUACCCAGUGA
Molecule: ribosomal RNA, 490 nt
Filed under: uncultured bacterium
Lineage: Bacteria
Description: bacterial SSU rRNA
Rfam family: Bacterial small subunit ribosomal RNA
Source: RNAcentral